Molecule: ribosomal RNA, 489 nt
Filed under: uncultured bacterium
Lineage: Bacteria
Description: bacterial SSU rRNA
Rfam family: Bacterial small subunit ribosomal RNA
Source: RNAcentral
GAUCAUGGCUCAGGAUUAACGCUGGCGGCGUGCCUAAUACAUGCAAGUCGAAUGGUAGUAGCAAUACAAACCAUGGCGAACGGGUGAGUAACACGUAGGCAACCUGACUUUAAGACGAGGAUAACCGUUGGAAACGACGGAUAAUACUGGAUAGGACAUCACAAAGGGCAUCCUUAGAUGUUUAAAGGUUAUCAUGCCACUUAGAGAGGGGCCUGCGGCGCAUUAGCUAGUUGGUGAGAUAACAGCCCACCAAGGCGAUGAUGCGUAGCCGGACUGAGAGGUUGAACGGCCACAAUGGAACUGAGAACGGUCCAUACUCCUACGGGAGGCAGCAGUAGGGAAUUUUCGGCAAUGGGCGCAAGCCUGAACCCGAGCAACGCCGCGUGAACGAAGAAGUUAUUCGUAAUGUAAAGUUCUUUUAUCUGGGAAGAAAAACAAAUUGACGGUACCAGAUGAAUAAGCUCCGGCUAACUACGUGCCAGCAGCAGC